UAUCUCUGUAGAGUCUGCAUAUCAAUAAGCGGAGGAAAAGAAACUAACUAGGAUUCCCUCAGUAACGGCGAGUGAAGCGGGAAGAGCUCAAAUUUGAAAUCUUCAAGGUUCUACCUUGACGAAUUGUAGUUUAAAGAAGUGUUUUCUGUUGGAGUUUUGGUAAAAGUUCUUUGGAAUAGGACAUCAUAGAGGGUGAGAAUCCCGUAUUUGACCAUUACUAUUCCAGCGUUGUGAUACACUUUCAAAGAGUCGGAUUGCUUUGGGAAUGCAGUCCAAAAUGGGUGGUAAAUUUCAUCUAAUGCUAAUACUGGCGAGAGACCGAUAGCGAACAAGUACCGUGAGGGAAAGAUGAAAAGAACUUUGAAAAGAGAGUUAAACAGUACGUGAAAUUGUCAAAAGGGAAGCGUUUGACACCAGUGUUGUUUUCUCGAAAAUCAAUUAAAAAAAGUUGGAUUUUGUAUUGUUAAGACCUUAUCAGCUUACUGUACUCUUUUCUUGCUUUUUUUAAUGCACUUUUCGUUUAACAAGUCAACAUCAAUUUCUUUUGUUGUAAAAGAGUCAUUGGAAGGUGGCUUUCACUUCGGUGAAAGUGUUUAUAGCCUUUGGCUUCUGCAAUCGGAGAGAUUGAGGUCUGCAGCGUAGAUCCUUCGGGGCUAGAUACGUAGAUGCUAAGUUAUAGUUUUUUAUAGACAACUUGUUGACUAUAAUUAAUCAUGUAGCUUACUCGUUUGCGCUAUUUUACCUACGCUUAGGAUGUUGACGAUCAGCUGAGCGCG
RNAcentral lists this ribosomal RNA (776 nucleotides) under uncultured Neocallimastigales. RNAcentral's name for it is "partial large subunit ribosomal RNA". It matches the Rfam family "Eukaryotic large subunit ribosomal RNA", at positions 24 to 634 of the family's 3401-position model. Lineage: Eukaryota; Fungi; Neocallimastigomycota; Neocallimastigomycetes; Neocallimastigales. The record is from RNAcentral.